GACGAACGCUGGCGGCGUGCCUAAUACAUGCAAGUCGAGCGGACGGAUGGGAGCUUGCUCCCAGACCGUCAGCGGCGGACGGGUGAGUAACACGUGGGCAACCUGCCUGUAAGACUGGGAUAACUCCGGGAAACCGGGGCUAAUACCGGAUAACUCUUUCCCUCACAUGAGGGUAAGCUGAAAGAUGGCAUCUCGCUAUCACUUACAGAUGGGCCCGCGGCGCAUUAGCUAGUUGGUGAGGUAACGGCUCACCAAGGCGACGAUGCGUAGCCGACCUGAGAGGGUGAUCGGCCACACUGGGACUGAGACACGGCCCAGACUCCUACGGGAGGCAGCAGUAGGGAAUCUUCCGCAAUGGACGAAAGUCUGACGGAGCAACGCCGCGUGAGUGAUGAAGGUUUUCGGAUCGUAAAACUCUGUUGUCAGGGAAGAACAAGUACCGGAGUAACUGCCGGUACCUUGACGGUACCUGACCAGAAAGCCACGGCUAACUACGUG
This 498-nucleotide ribosomal RNA is filed under the name uncultured bacterium. Its description in RNAcentral is "partial 16S ribosomal RNA". It matches the Rfam family "Bacterial small subunit ribosomal RNA", at positions 28 to 507 of the family's 1533-position model. The record is from RNAcentral.